GACGAACGCUGGCGGCGUGCCUAAUACAUGCAAGUCGAACGCUGAAGAGAGGAGCUUACUCUUCUUGGAUGAGUUGCGAACGGGUGAGUAACGCGUAGGUAACCUGCCUUGUAGCGGGGGAUAACUAUUGGAAACGAUAGCUAAUACCGCAUAACAAUGGAUGACACAUGUCAUUUAUUUGAAAGGGGCAAUUGCUCCACUACAAGAUGGACCUGCGUUGUAUUAGCUAGUAGGUGAGGUAAUGGCUCACCUAGGCGACGAUACAUAGCCGACCUGAGAGGGUGAUCGGCCACACUGGGACUGAGACACGGCCCAGACUCCUACGGGAGGCAGCAGGAAGGAAUCUUCGGCAAUUGGGGCAACCCUGACCGAGGAACGCCGCGGGAGGGAAGAAGGGUUUCGGAUCGUAAAGCUCUGUUGUAAGUCAAGAACGGGUGUGAGAGUGGAAAGUUCACACUGUGACGGUAGCUUACCAGAAAGGGACGGCUAACUACGUG
RNAcentral lists this ribosomal RNA (497 nucleotides) under uncultured bacterium. RNAcentral's name for it is "partial 16S ribosomal RNA". It matches the Rfam family "Bacterial small subunit ribosomal RNA", at positions 28 to 507 of the family's 1533-position model. The record is from RNAcentral.